CCAUUCAUGUAGCCUGCCAUAGGCUAGAAUAGUGGUUCCCAAAUUGUGCUCUGCAGACCACUGGUGGUCCACAAGCUUCAUUUAGGUGGCCUGCAGUGUGUCUGUGGUUUAAGAGGAGAGGCGGCACAUCUACGACAGUAAAUAUACUGAUUUUUCAUUGCGUUCUUUAUAUUUUAUUUUAUAUUGCAUUUUAUUGUAUGACAGAAGUCAAUUUGUAAUACAAUAAAAUACAAUAAGCAGGAAAUAAAAUAAAAAAAAUCAAUAUACAAUGAAAAAUCAUACCGCAUUUAGCUUGGUGUAUUACAAUUGCUACAGCAGGCAGAAAAAUCAUUAAAUGAGCCAUCAAGAAACUAAGUGGUUCUUGGACGUGGAGAGUUUGGGAACCAUAAGCCUUGAAUUUAUUCCAGGACUGUUGCACUGUAGGCCACUGUGCUUGUUUGCAGACUACUGAAAUGACACAAAAUCAGACUAACGAAAAGGUGUCCCUAAAAGUUAGCAAGGAGGACUACUGGGUGGUAAAUCAUGGCUUUACCUUAUAAGUACAUCUGGUAGUAGUGGGUUGAACUGAAUGUCAAUGUAGAAAAGUAUACAUGCGCUUCCUGUUAAAGGCUUUGGAAAGGAAAUUGAUGUAUAUUGUUACUAUUAAAGUUCAACUUGUAGGCAUACUUUUUCCUCUGAUAAAGAACUAUGAUGCUUCUUCCCAUUCCUUCCACAUGACAUGUAGACUUUUUACUUUUGCGUUCUCACAACAACUAAGUGACUUGCCCAGAUUACUGGGAUACGGAACGUACAGGGUUUUUUUCCCCCUUCUGCCCGUGGUUUGGGAUCCCAUCCUUGUUUACAUAAUUUGUUUAUACUGCAGUACCAAUUUCUAGAGAUCAAUAAAGUUGACUACUUUGUGGCCUGGACAUAAAAGCUUCCCUUACCCAACAUGACCUUUCUUGGCAUCAGUGGUUAUCCUUAGAUGUUACACAUUCACAUUGUGAUCUGAGAGUAAUUUUUCUGAGAAGAAACAGCCCUGGCUAGCUACACAUAGGAGAUACCCCAUAUACUCUGGCAUUGAUAUGCAUGAAGAAUCCCAGAACUUCACAACAGACCCUUAACGUUGUUCUUCGGGAGACUUGAAGUACAACCCUGUGCAUAUUUACUUGGAAUUAAGCCCCCCCCCCCUGUGUUCAGAGGGGCUUAUUCCCAGGAAAAGGGCUACAGAAUUGCAGCCUUAUUUUCUCAGGAGUAUCGGAAGUGCAAGACCCAAUCCAAAUUCCUAUAGUUCUUCCUUUCAGCAACUCCCUUGCAGCUCUAAUACCAAGCAUUGUUUGCAUGCUGCCAAGGCCUCUUCAUUACAGCUGUCUGUAUCUGUAGUGAAGCAAAUCCACUUGGUCCAAUUGCAACUCUUGAAAGUUGGAAAGGGUUGAGUGAUUGUAGGACACUUGUGAUAACCAUGUGGGAAAGACGGACGACUCAGCUUAAAACUUUCCACAGACAUGUGAGCUCAGUGACUUUCUGUAAUUUAUUUUUGUGUUUUAGUCUACUUUAAAGGUGAGUGCUGCUUGUUAUCAUUAAUCAGCCUGAAGGAACCUUUCUUCCUUGCUUUUUGACUCUUGUCCAUAUUGCUUGUUAAACUAUGUUAGAAAAAC
This is a long non-coding RNA of Podarcis raffonei (Aeolian wall lizard), 1637 nucleotides long. RefSeq lists it as uncharacterized. The record is from RefSeq and is a predicted model, not a curated record. The transcript is spliced from 2 exons. NCBI's taxonomy places the organism in Eukaryota, Metazoa, Chordata, Lepidosauria, Squamata, Lacertidae.